Molecule: ribosomal RNA, 916 nt
Filed under: uncultured bacterium
Lineage: Bacteria
Description: bacterial SSU rRNA
Rfam family: Bacterial small subunit ribosomal RNA
Source: RNAcentral
UUGUUGGUAAGGUAAAAGCUUACCAAGGCUUCGAUCAGUAGCUGGUCUGAGAGGACGACCAGCCACACUGGGACUGAGACACGGCCCAGACUCCUACGGGAGGCAGCAGUGGGGAAUUUUGGACAAUGGGGGCAACCCUGAUCCAGCCAUGCCGCGUGAGUGAAGAAGGCCUUCGGGUUGUAAAGCUCUUUCAGCCGGAACGAAACGGUUACGGUUAACACCCGUGACUACUGACGGUACCGGAAGAAGAAGCACCGGCUAACUACGUGCCAGCAGCCGCGGUAAUACGUAGGGUGCGAGCGUUAAUCGGAAUUACUGGGCGUAAAGCGUGCGCAGGUGGUUUUGUAAGUCAGAUGUGAAAGCCCCGGGCUCAACCUGGGAACUGCGUUUGAAACUACAAGACUAGAGUGUGGCAGAGGGGGGUGGAAUUCCGCGUGUAGCAGUGAAAUGCGUAGAGAUGUGGAGGAACACCGAUGGCGAAGGCAGCCCCCUGGGUCAACACUGACGCUCAGGCACGAAAGCAUGGGGAGCAAACAGGAUUAGAUACCCUGGUAGUCCAUGCCCUAAACGAUGUCAACUAGUUGUCGGGCCUUUACGGGCUUGGUAACGUAGCUAACGCGUGAAGUUGACCGCCUGGGGAGUACGAUCGCAAGAUUAAAACUCAAAUGAAUUGACGGGGACCCGCACAAGCGGUGGAUUAUGUGGAUUAAUUCGAUGCAACGCGAAAAACCUUACCUACCCUUGACAUGUAUCGAAGCCCGCAGAAAAGCGGGGGUGCCCGAAAGGGAACGAUAACACAGGUGCUGCAUGGCUGUCGUCAGCUCGUGUCGUGAGUUGUUGGGUUAAGUCCCGCAACGAGCGCAACCCUUGUCAUUAAUUGCCAUCAUUUAGUUGGGCACUUUAAUGAGACUGCCGG